GGCAUGGUGGCUCAGUGGUAAGAUCGCCCGCCUCAUGAACGGGAGGUCGUGGGUUCGAACCCCGGCCGAGUCG
Molecule: transfer RNA, 73 nt
Filed under: Strongylocentrotus purpuratus (purple sea urchin)
Lineage: Eukaryota; Metazoa; Echinodermata; Echinoidea; Camarodonta; Strongylocentrotidae
Rfam family: tRNA
About the family: Transfer RNA (tRNA) molecules are approximately 80 nucleotides in length.
Source: Rfam by way of RNAcentral